UCCCAGGUGGCUCAGACGGUAAAAAAUCUGCCUGCAAUGUAGGAGACCCAGGUUUGAUUCCUGGGUUGGGAA
This 72-nucleotide transfer RNA is filed under the name Capra hircus (goat). It matches the Rfam family "tRNA". Rfam says of the family: Transfer RNA (tRNA) molecules are approximately 80 nucleotides in length. Their secondary structure includes four short double-helical elements and three loops (D, anti-codon, and T loops). Further hydrogen bonds mediate the characteristic L-shaped molecular structure. tRNAs have two regions of fundamental functional importance: the anti-codon, which is responsible for specific mRNA codon recognition, and the 3' end, to which the tRNAs corresponding amino acid is attached (by aminoacyl-tRNA synthetases). tRNAs cope with the degeneracy of the genetic code in two manners: having more than one tRNA (with a specific anti-codon) for a particular amino acid; and 'wobble' base-pairing, i.e. permitting non-standard base-pairing at the 3rd anti-codon position. The record is from Rfam by way of RNAcentral. Lineage: Eukaryota; Metazoa; Chordata; Mammalia; Artiodactyla; Bovidae. RNAcentral also lists the same sequence under 1 other name.